GGAUCCAUAAGCUCAAAAAUGGUAGAGCGCUCAAUUGACUUUUGAGAGGAUGGUGGUUCGAGCCCACCUGGGUCCC
Non-coding RNA from Penstemon davidsonii, 76 nucleotides. The record is from the annotation of a GenBank genome assembly. NCBI's taxonomy places the organism in Eukaryota, Viridiplantae, Streptophyta, Magnoliopsida, Lamiales, Plantaginaceae.